GCUAAUACAUGCAAGUUGAGCGAUGAAGAUUGGUGCUUGCACCAAUUUGAAGAGCAGCGAACGGGUGAGUAACGCGUGGGGAAUCUGCCUUUGAGCGGGGGACAACAUUUGGAAACGAAUGCUAAUACCGCAUAAUAACUUUAAACAUAAGUUUUAAGUUUGAAAGAUGCAAUUGCAUCACUCAAAGAUGAUCCCGCGUUGUAUUAGCUAGUUGGUGAGGUAAAGGCUCACCAAGGCGAUGAUACAUAGCCGACCUGAGAGGGUGAUCGGCCACAUUGGGACUGAGACACGGCCCAAACUCCUACGGGAGGCAGCAGUAGGGAAUCUUCGGCAAUGGACGAAAGUCUGACCGAGCAACGCCGCGUGAGUGAAGAAGGUUUUCGGAUCGUAAAACUCUGUUGGUAGAGAAGAACGUUGGUGAGAGUGGAAAGCUCAUCAAGUGACGGUAACUACCCAGAAAGGGACGGCUAACUACGUGCCAGCAGCCGCGGUAAUACGUAGGUCCCGAGCGUUGUCCGGAUUUAUUGGGCGUAAAGCGAGCGCAGGUGGUUUAUUAAGUCUGGUGUAAAAGGCAGUGGCUCAACCAUGUAUGCAUGGAAACU
RNAcentral lists this ribosomal RNA (602 nucleotides) under Lactococcus cremoris. Its description in RNAcentral is "bacterial SSU rRNA". It matches the Rfam family "Bacterial small subunit ribosomal RNA", at positions 46 to 634 of the family's 1533-position model. Lineage: Bacteria; Bacillati; Bacillota; Bacilli; Lactobacillales; Streptococcaceae. The record is from RNAcentral.